GGAGAUGUGGCUCAGUGGUGGAGCACUUGUCUACCAUGAAUGAGGCCCUGGGUUCAAUCCCCAGGACCACCA
This 72-nucleotide transfer RNA is filed under the name Marmota marmota marmota (Alpine marmot). It matches the Rfam family "tRNA". Rfam says of the family: Transfer RNA (tRNA) molecules are approximately 80 nucleotides in length. RNAcentral also lists the same sequence under 1 other name. The record is from Rfam by way of RNAcentral. Lineage: Eukaryota; Metazoa; Chordata; Mammalia; Rodentia; Sciuridae.